Molecule: ribosomal RNA, 497 nt
Filed under: uncultured bacterium
Lineage: Bacteria
Description: partial 16S ribosomal RNA
Rfam family: Bacterial small subunit ribosomal RNA
Source: RNAcentral
GAUGAACGCUGGCGGCGUGCCUAAUACAUGCAAGUCGAGCGAACGGACGAGAAGCUUGCUUCUCUGACGUUAGCGGCGGACGGGUGAGUAACACGUGGAUAACCUACCUAUAAGACUGGGAUAACUUCGGGAAACCGGAGCUAAUACCGGAUAAUAUUUUGAACCGCAUGGUUCAACAGUGAAAGACGGUCUUGCUGUCACUUAUAGAUGGAUCCGCGCUGCAUUAGCUAGUUGGUAAGGUAACGGCUUACCAAGGCAACGAUGCAUAGCCGACCUGAGAGGGUGAUCGGCCACACUGGAACUGAGACACGGUCCAGACUCCUACGGGAGGCAGCAGUAGGGAAUCUUCCGCAAUGGGCGAAAGCCUGACGGAGCAACGCCGCGUGAGUGAAGAAGGUCUUCGGAUCGUAAAACUCUGUUAUUAGGGAAGAACAUAUGUGUAAGUAACUGUGCACAUCUUGACGGUACCUAAUCAGAAAGCCACGGCUAACUACGUG